This 304-nucleotide ribosomal RNA is filed under the name uncultured bacterium. Its description in RNAcentral is "partial 16S ribosomal RNA". It matches the Rfam family "Bacterial small subunit ribosomal RNA", at positions 509 to 807 of the family's 1533-position model. The record is from RNAcentral.
CAGCAGUCGCCGCGGGAAUACAGAGGGUGCAAGCGUUAAUCGGAUUUACUGGGCGUAAAGGGCGCGUAGGUGGUUAUAUAAGUGAGGUGUGAAAGCCCCGGGCUUAACCUGGGAACUGCAUCUUAAACUAUGUAACUGGAGUGCGAUAGAGGGUAGUGGAAUUUCCGGUGUAGCGGUGAAAUGCGUAGAGAUCGGGAGGAACAUCAGUGGCGAAGGCGGCCAUCUGGGACAACACUGACGCUGAGGCACGAAAGCGUGGGGAGCAAACAGGAUUAGAGACCCCUGUAGUCCCUGUCUCUUAUAC